AGGGUGGUAGCUCAGUGGUAGAGCGGUGGUCUCCAAAACCACGUGCCGGGGUUCGAUUCCCCGUCACCUUG
Molecule: transfer RNA, 71 nt
Filed under: Gordonia phage Rabbitrun
Lineage: Duplodnaviria; Heunggongvirae; Uroviricota; Caudoviricetes
Rfam family: tRNA
About the family: Transfer RNA (tRNA) molecules are approximately 80 nucleotides in length. Their secondary structure includes four short double-helical elements and three loops (D, anti-codon, and T loops). Further hydrogen bonds mediate the characteristic L-shaped molecular structure. tRNAs have two regions of fundamental functional importance: the anti-codon, which is responsible for specific mRNA codon recognition, and the 3' end, to which the tRNAs corresponding amino acid is attached (by aminoacyl-tRNA synthetases). tRNAs cope with the degeneracy of the genetic code in two manners: having more than one tRNA (with a specific anti-codon) for a particular amino acid; and 'wobble' base-pairing, i.e. permitting non-standard base-pairing at the 3rd anti-codon position.
Source: Rfam by way of RNAcentral